ACGCUCGACACCUACGGGAGGCAGCAGUAGGAAUCUUCCACAAUGGGCGCAAGCCUGAUGGAGCAACACCGCGUGAGUGAAGAAGGGUUUCGGCUCGUAAAGCUCUGUUGUUGGAGAAGAACGUGCGUGAGAGUAACUGUUCACGCAGUGACGGUAUCCAACCAGAAAGUCACGGCUAACUACGUGCUAGCAGCCGCGGUAAUCUGAGCGGGCUGGCAAGGC
Molecule: ribosomal RNA, 222 nt
Filed under: uncultured bacterium
Lineage: Bacteria
Description: partial 16S ribosomal RNA
Rfam family: Bacterial small subunit ribosomal RNA
Source: RNAcentral